ACGGCGAGUGAAACGGGAAGAGCUCAAAUUUGAAAUCUGGCAUUCAUUAGAGUGUCCGAAUUGUCAUUGAGAGGGUCUUCUUUAGACACAUUGGUAUGGUCCAAGUUCUCAGGAAAGGGACAACAAAGAGGGUGACAUUCCCGUCUAGAUCAUGCUGAGGUGUCCGCAUAGAAGAAGGCUCUAAGAGUCGGAUUGUUUGGGAAUGCAGUCCAAAAUGGGUGGUACAUUUCAUCUAAAGCUAAAUAUAUGCAAGAGACCGAUAGCGAACAAGUACCGUGAGGGAAAGAUGAAAAGAACUUUGAAAAGAGAGUUAAACAGUGCGUGAAAUUGUUGAAAGGGAAACGCUUGAAACCAGUCAUGUGGUUGGGAAAUCAGUCUCUGACGAGGGGGAAUGGGGGAGGUGUGGACCGCAAGGCCGCUCUUUUUCAUAUCUCUUUCGGCAGGGAUGCACUUUUUCUUCUGCAGGUCAACAUCAGUUUGCUUUGCCGGACAAAACUUGGGGGAAGGUGACAGCUUAGGCUGUGUUAUAGCCCUCGAGCGAUACGGUGGGGUGGACUGAGGUUUUCGCAGCAUGUGCUCUCGGGCAAGGCUGAUUGGGUGCUAUGAGAUCGUUCAGGGUACAAUACAUGUAUUUUGCUCUGUGUCUUUUUUAUACUCGCUCAAUUGGGCU
This 670-nucleotide ribosomal RNA is filed under the name uncultured fungus. RNAcentral's name for it is "eukaryotic LSU rRNA". It matches the Rfam family "Eukaryotic large subunit ribosomal RNA", at positions 86 to 577 of the family's 3401-position model. The record is from RNAcentral. Lineage: Eukaryota; Fungi.